AACGAACGCUGGCGGCAUGCCUAACACAUGCAAGUCGAACGAGACCUUCGGGUCUAGUGGCGCACGGGUGCGUAACGCGUGGGAACCUGCCCUUAGGUUCGGAAUAACUCCCCGAAAGGGGUGCUAAUACCGGAUAAUGUCUUCUGACCAAAGAUUUAUCGCCUUUGGAUGGGCCCGCGUUGGAUUAGCUAGUUGGUAGGGUAAAAGCCUACCAAGGCGACGAUCCAUAGCUGGUCUGAGAGGAUGAUCAGCCACACUGGGACAGGGACACGGCCCAGACUCCGACGGGAGGCAGCAGUGGGGAAUAUGGGACAAUGGGCGAGAGCCGGAUCCAGCAAUGCCGCGGGAGUGAUGAAGGCCUUAGGGUUGUAAAGCUCUUUUACCCGGGAUGAUAAGGACAGUACCGGGAGAAUAAGCUCCGGCUAACUCCGG
RNAcentral lists this ribosomal RNA (432 nucleotides) under uncultured bacterium. RNAcentral's name for it is "partial 16S ribosomal RNA". It matches the Rfam family "Bacterial small subunit ribosomal RNA", at positions 29 to 506 of the family's 1533-position model. The record is from RNAcentral.